CAAUACGAACUAUGAUGCCUCGCUUCUUACGGCGAUUACCUAUCCAAAAAUUACUCUAAUUCUAAGCUCAUUCAACAUUUUUAACCUUUUGGACCUAGCAACCACUAAAAAUAAUAUAGCCAGUUUAAAAUAUUUAGCCAUAUAUGCUAAUACCUUAUAUAUAAUAUUAUUCCAAAUCCUAAGAGUGUCACAAUAAGGUCCCAAAUUCAAAAUCCUAAUUGCUUCACAUUUUCAGUUAAAUUUAUUUCUAAAACUAACAAACGAAGCGGUAGUAUAAUACCAUCCUCUAAAAAAAAAUUCAUUAUUUUUUGACAUUACUUAUUUACUAAAAGCGCCCUCAAAAGUGAAUUUCCUAAUUAUAUGUAUUUUUUCAAAUCUACUAUCGUCUAGCUUAUUUCCGGCUCUGAUAUCGAUUGUUGGAAGUGUGAUUUUUUUUUUAUAUCAAUUGUUGAAAGUUGAAACAAGUACUUAUGCUAAUACUGAUCAUAUGUAAAGAUUCAAAGGGCUUUUUUUGCAUUUAGCCCCUGGCAAAUUUUUAUUUUAAAAAUAGCCCUAUCAAAAUUUAAUUUGCAAAAAUGGCCCUAGACCUGCCACGCAGGCGCCACAUCAGCGCCACGCGGGUGGGGCUGGGGGCGGUAGUUAAGUUAAACAUGGUGAACCAUUCACCGUGUUUAGACACGGUGAAUGAUUCACCGUGUUUAGUACGUAUUUUUUAUAUAUUGAAAAGAGGAAUAGGGAAUUUGUAUUCCUUUUCUUCUCUUUUUCAAAAAUCCGAACCCGAACCCGAAAAUCAAAUUAAAAUGCAAACCCGGAUCCCAAUCCGACGGAUUUUAAAAAUUCAUACCGAUAUCCAUAUCCGACCAAAAACUCGAAACCCAAACCUCAACCCUGCGGGUUUUAAAAAUCUAUACCAUUAGAUGAAAAUCUAAGAAAUAAAAAUUAUUAAAUAUUUUAUAUAUUGUAUAAAUAAAUAAAAAUAAAUUAUGUAUAUAUAUAUAUAUAUAAAAUUUAUUCGGGUUUGAAUUCGGAUAAUAUUUCGGAUAUCCAUACCUAUUGACAUCCUUACUCCCUAUUCCUCUUUUCAAUAUACAAAAAAUACGUACUAAACACAGUGAACCAUUCACUUCAACUUACCACACGAGCCCCGAUCCCGCCCGCGUGGCGCUGACGUGGCGCCUGUGUAGCAGGCCCAGGGUCAUUUUUGCAAAUUAAAUUUUGACAGAGCUAAUUUUAAAAUAAAAAUUUGCUAGGAGGCUAAAUGCAAAAAAAGCCCAGAUUCAAAUAAAGUUUCAAACAUAGACCUUUUUUGAUAUAUUGACGUUCUAUUAAGAUCUGGUCAAGUUUUUCGUAUUUCGGCUUCCUUGCUCUGAUACCACUUGUUGAAAGAAGAGGAAUAUUAUAGCGAAUUAAACUAAAACUUUAUUAAAUAUUCUUUAACUAAAUUUCAAUGAUGGAUUAUUUUUCACACAUUUACAACAGUCUACAUAUAAGCGUAAACCAAAAAUUUUAAUAGCAAUAAUUGAAUAAGAUUUAAACUUAUCUUUUAUGUCUAACUAAUAAAAAUAUUAAGAAACAAAUCUGACGGAAAUAAAUCUAAACUUAUCAAAAAUAUUAGAUUACUUAUCAACAGGGUGUAAUUUUAGAAUAGUAUAUAGGUGAGG
Molecule: long non-coding RNA, 1661 nt
Filed under: Ananas comosus (pineapple)
Lineage: Eukaryota; Viridiplantae; Streptophyta; Magnoliopsida; Poales; Bromeliaceae
Description: long non-coding RNA (ACOM_LNC031115)
Source: RNAcentral